This 1762-nucleotide long non-coding RNA is filed under the name Equus caballus (horse). The record is from RNAcentral. Lineage: Eukaryota; Metazoa; Chordata; Mammalia; Perissodactyla; Equidae.
CACCAUGAUGGGAACGACGGCUCAGCUGCAAACUGCUUUUAAAGUACUAGAACAGAAACAGCAAAGACAGCCCCCCGGUACACAGUUGCGUACUCUUCGCUGUGGGUUCCUCUAGUUGUGGCAUGUGGGACGCCGCCUCAGCGUGGUCUGACGAGCAGUGCCAUGUCCGCGCCCAGGAUUCGAACCGACGAAACACUGGGCCGCCUGCAGCGGAGCACGCGAACUUAACCACUCGGCCAUGGGGCCAGCCCGGCAAAAUUCAAUUUUUGAUAGUCAUUGUUGAGAUGCGUGGACGUUAGUUGUCUUUAGGGUAUAAGAAACAUAAAAUACGUCUACGGCCAUACCACCCUGAAUGCGCCCGAUCUCGUCUGAUCUUGGAAUCUAAGCAGGGUCAGGCCUGGUUAGUACUUGGACGGAAGAAACAUAAAAUAUGGUAUUAUAGAAAGCACACACAAAACUCUAACUACAGUAAUAACUAAUACUAAAUAAAACACAAAGACCGUGAAAACCUCAUACGAAAUUCCAGAAGAGUCCUUGGGAUGUGGAUAAACUGCGUUAUCUCCUUCAUCAUCUUUUCUCUAUUCUGGAAUGCACCCUGGUGCUUUCUGCUUCCAGAAAGUUCAUUGAAUGAGCUCCUGAAAAUGGCAUUAAAUAAGAGCUUAUAGGAAAGACUUGAUCAUAAGUACAGGGCACAGUAAAGAGGGAGCAGGGGAUCCCGCAAGAAAACCUCCAGUUUGGUGAUUGGUUAGAAAAACUCAAGGGACUCAGCACGGACUUGUCUCCUGGCUGUAAUUUAUUACAGCAGAAGGAUACAAAGCAAAAUCAGCAAAGGGAGAAAGGCACAUGGGGCGAAGUGUGGAGGAACCAGGCACCAGCUUCCAAGAGUCUUCUCCCAGUGGAGACACACAGGACGUGCUGAAUUACUCCAGCAAAAAGAUACAAACCAUGCAUGAAAUGUCUAGUAGGGAAGCUCGUCAGAGACGCAGUGCCCGAUGCUUUCAGUGGACAGGGUCGUGGAGGCACCCUCUGCCUAGCACAUACCAGAACUCCAGACUCCCAGAAAGAAAGCAGGUGUUCAGUGUAAACGACAUUGUUUGUGCAAACAAUUUAGCCACAUUAAACCACACUUAUCAGGGAAUGAUGGAAACACUUCCAAAACCCAAAUUCCCAGACACAAGCCCAGGGCCAAACUUGCAAGCAUGCCUUUCCAGGGAGGGCCUUCUCAGGCCGGCUCUAUUAACUGUUUCCUACACAGACGCAAAAGCAGAUGCCUGCUCCGUGGAGGGACCCAUGCUGGGUCCUUUCAAACAUGUCAUUUUGCUUGCCAUUUUUGUCUCAAACUUUGCACUUUAUCUAGCACCUAUUUUGUUGAAUAAAUGAGUGAGCGUUGCUUCCUUUCCCUCCCCUGCCCUUUUUGCCCUACAGAAACAGGAGCAGUGCUUUAUCCAGAAAACCAUAUUGAAACUCACAGAGAGUUAGUGUAGUAACAGCCAUCACACAGCAGGGGCACCGUAGAGCUCCAGGGCUGCUGGAGGGAAAUGCCGCCCUGGUCUGGGCGAGGCCUCAGCCUGGAGCUGUGGUGGAGAGCUAGCCUGUGUCUCCCAAGGAGUGGCGCUCGGCGGCUGCUCAGCGCAAUUCCAGCUGCUUAGAUUCUAAUGUUUGCUGCAAAAGUCUAAUCUCGCUAUGUUAUAGUUAUAAUUAUCCAGUUUUCAACUUUGAGCUAAACAGAACAUAAGCAAUGUGUCUUUUCAGGUGAUAAAAG